Molecule: ribosomal RNA, 447 nt
Filed under: uncultured Pelagibacterales bacterium
Lineage: Bacteria; Pseudomonadati; Pseudomonadota; Alphaproteobacteria; Candidatus Pelagibacterales
Description: bacterial SSU rRNA
Rfam family: Bacterial small subunit ribosomal RNA
Source: RNAcentral
GAGAUGUGGGUAGUCCGCACGAGCGCACCUCACUUUUAGUUGCCAUCAUUAAGUUGGGCACUCUGAAAGAACUGCCAGUGAUAAGCUGGAGGAAGGUGGGGAUGACGUCAAGUCCUCAUGGCCCUUACGUGUUGGGCUACACACGUGCUACAAUGGUAUCUACAACAGGAAGCAAAACGGCAACGUUAAGCAAAUCCCAAAAAGAUACCUCAGUUCGGAUUGCACUCUGCAACUCGAGUGCAUGAAGCUGGAAUUACUAGUAAUCGUGGAUCAGCGUGCCACGGUGAAUGCGUUCCCGGGUCUUGUACACACCGCCCGUCACACCAUGGGAGUUGGUUCUACCUUAAGGCAAGGUUUUAAACCCUUGUCCACGGUAUAGUCAGCGACUGGGGUGAAGUCGUAACAAGGUAGCCGUAGGGGAACCUGCGGCUGGAUUACCUCCUUUCU